Long non-coding RNA from Vicia villosa (hairy vetch), 540 nucleotides. RefSeq lists it as uncharacterized. NCBI's taxonomy places the organism in Eukaryota, Viridiplantae, Streptophyta, Magnoliopsida, Fabales, Fabaceae. The record is from RefSeq and is a predicted model, not a curated record. The transcript is spliced from 4 exons.
CUUUGAAGUCCAACGAAAGUAUGUUGCUUCAGUAAAAUGUAAAAAAUGGUAUCAUCAUUGGCGUUUGGCGGCUGGUUCGACACCUUAUGUAUCUGUCUCUGGGAGGGAAGCUCUUUUACUAUUGUGGAGAUUGGCUUAUCCUGACAGGGAGCUUCCUUCACUUAAAUCAGAUCUUUGGAAGGAAAUGGGAUGGCAAGGUUCAGAUCCAUCAACAGAUUUUAGAAAAUGGCAUAGAUUUUGGAACCUUCGACGCAAUGGCAGAUGAUAAUCACGAAAACCUCUCAGUGUGCAACUCAGAUCAUAUCAAAGAUGUGGAGUUCUUUAGUUAAGAAACAAAACAAGAAAGUUACGCGUUCGGCUAAAUUUAGAGUUAUGGCAAUCAACUCUGAAAAUGGCACCAUCAAUAGGGUGGAGGAUUUGCUUAAUUGGGACAUCACUCCAUUCAGUGACAACAUAAUUGCUGAGUACAUAUGGAUUGGUGGAACAGGAAUCGAUGUGCGCAGCAAAUCAAGGGUAUGUUAAUGAAUAUUCAUACUAUGA